AGAAUCAACGCUGGCGGCGUGCCUAACACAUGCAAGUCGAACGCGAAAGGGACUUCGGUCCUGAGUAGAGUGGCGAACGGGUGAGUAACGCGUGGGUGACCUACCCUCGAGUGGGGGAUAACGUUCCGAAAGGGACGCUAAUACCGCAUGACAUUCCGGGUUUGAAGACCUGGAAAUCAAAGCCGGGGACCGCAAGGCCUGGCGCUCGAGGAGGGGCCCGCGUCUGAUUAGCUAGUUGGCGGGGUAAUGGCCCACCAAGGCGACGAUC
This 268-nucleotide ribosomal RNA is filed under the name uncultured soil bacterium. RNAcentral describes it as "partial 16S ribosomal RNA". It matches the Rfam family "Bacterial small subunit ribosomal RNA", at positions 26 to 281 of the family's 1533-position model. The record is from RNAcentral.